UCUUUGAUGGUCUAACGGUCAUGAUUUCCGCUUGUCAUCCAACUCGCGGGAGAUCGGGGUUCGACUCCCCGUCAGAGAG
This 79-nucleotide transfer RNA is filed under the name Blumeria hordei DH14. Its description in RNAcentral is "tRNA-Asp for anticodon GUC". It matches the Rfam family "tRNA". Rfam says of the family: Transfer RNA (tRNA) molecules are approximately 80 nucleotides in length. Their secondary structure includes four short double-helical elements and three loops (D, anti-codon, and T loops). Further hydrogen bonds mediate the characteristic L-shaped molecular structure. tRNAs have two regions of fundamental functional importance: the anti-codon, which is responsible for specific mRNA codon recognition, and the 3' end, to which the tRNAs corresponding amino acid is attached (by aminoacyl-tRNA synthetases). tRNAs cope with the degeneracy of the genetic code in two manners: having more than one tRNA (with a specific anti-codon) for a particular amino acid; and 'wobble' base-pairing, i.e. permitting non-standard base-pairing at the 3rd anti-codon position. Lineage: Eukaryota; Fungi; Ascomycota; Leotiomycetes; Helotiales; Erysiphaceae. The record is from RNAcentral.